UUUUGAAUCACAUCACCAUGUAUGGCCAUGGCUGUUGGAGCUCUGUUCCCAAACUUGCAGGUCUGCAGAGGUGUGGGAAGAGCUGCAGAUUGAGGUGGAUAAAUUAUUUGAGGCCAGACUUGAAGAGAGGUACAUUCUCUGAGCAGGAGGAGAACCUCAUUAUUGAACUCCAUGCAGUUUUUAGGAAACAGGUGGUCUCAGAUUGCUGCACAGUUGCCAGGAAGAA
Long non-coding RNA from Dioscorea cayenensis subsp. rotundata (Guinea yam), 226 nucleotides. RefSeq lists it as uncharacterized. NCBI's taxonomy places the organism in Eukaryota, Viridiplantae, Streptophyta, Magnoliopsida, Dioscoreales, Dioscoreaceae. The transcript is spliced from 3 exons. The record is from RefSeq and is a predicted model, not a curated record.